RNAcentral lists this ribosomal RNA (499 nucleotides) under uncultured bacterium. RNAcentral describes it as "bacterial SSU rRNA". It matches the Rfam family "Bacterial small subunit ribosomal RNA", at positions 29 to 502 of the family's 1533-position model. The record is from RNAcentral.
AACGAACGCUGGCGGCGUGGAUAAGACAUGCAAGUCGGACGCUGAUUGCCGGGUAGCAAUAUUCGGCGGUCGGAGUGGCGAAAGGGUGCGUAACACGUGGGCAAUCUGCCGUGAAGUCGGGGAUAACUUGCUGAAAGGCGAGCUAAUACCGGAUGUGGUUUUGGGAGGGCAUCUUUCUGGAACCAAAGUUGGGGACCGCAAGGCCUGACGCUUCAUGAUGAGCCCGCGGCCUAUCAGCUAGUUGGUGAGGUAAUGGCUCACCAAGGCAAAGACGGGUAGCUGGUCUGAGAGGACGACCAGCCACACUGGAACUGAGACACGGUCCAGACACCUACGGGUGGCAGCAGUCGAGAAUUUUUCACAAUGGGCGAAAGCCUGAUGGAGCGACGCCGCGUGGGGGAUGAAUGGCUUCGGCCCGUAAACCCCUGUCAUUUGCGAACAAACCUUCCACCCACACGUGGAGAGCUGAUUGUAGCGAAAGAGGAAGGGACGGCUAACU